This 292-nucleotide ribosomal RNA is filed under the name uncultured bacterium. RNAcentral describes it as "partial 16S ribosomal RNA". It matches the Rfam family "Bacterial small subunit ribosomal RNA", at positions 505 to 796 of the family's 1533-position model. The record is from RNAcentral.
GUGCCAGCAGCCGCGGUAAUACGUAGGGGGCCAGCGUUGUCCGGAUUCAUUGGGCGUAAAGAGCGUGUAGGCGGCCAGGUAGGUCCGACGUGAAAACUGGAGGCUCAACCUCCAGCUGUCGUCGGAAACCCUCUGGCUAGAGUCCGGAAGAGGAGAGCGGAAUUCCUGGUGUAGCGGUGAAAUGCGCAGAUAUCAGGAAGAACACCGAUGGCGAAGGCAGCUCUCUGGGACGGUACUGACGCUGAGACGCGAAAGCGUGGGGAGCGAACAGGAUUAGAAACCCCCGUAGUCC